GUGAGUGCGCGUGCUAUACAUGCAAGUCGAGCGGACAGAAGGGAGCUUGCUCCCGGAUGUUAGCGGCGGACGGGUGAGUAACACGUGGGUAACCUGCCUGUAAGACUGGGAUAACUCCGGGAAACCGGAGCUAAUACCGGAUAGUUCCUUGAACCGCAUGGUUCAAGGAUGAAAGACGGUUUUCGGCUGUCACUUACAGAUGGACCCGCGGCGCAUUAGCUAGUUGGUGGGGUAAUGGCUCACCAAGGCGACGAUGCGUAGCCGACCUGAGAGGGUGAUCGGCCACACUGGGACUGAGACACGGCCCAGACUCCUACGGGAGGCAGCAGUAGGGAAUCUUCCGCAAUGGACGAAAGUCUGACGGAGCAACGCCGCGUGAGUGAUGAAGGUUUUCGGAUCGUAAAGCUCUGUUGUUAGGGAAGAACAAGUGCGAGAGUAACUGCUCGCACCUUGACGGUACCUAACCAGAAAGCCACGGCUAACUACGUGCCAGAGCCCGCGGUAA
RNAcentral lists this ribosomal RNA (505 nucleotides) under Bacillus pumilus. RNAcentral's name for it is "bacterial SSU rRNA". It matches the Rfam family "Bacterial small subunit ribosomal RNA", at positions 39 to 523 of the family's 1533-position model. The record is from RNAcentral. Lineage: Bacteria; Bacillati; Bacillota; Bacilli; Caryophanales; Bacillaceae.